Molecule: long non-coding RNA, 296 nt
Organism: Bombus huntii
Lineage: Eukaryota; Metazoa; Arthropoda; Insecta; Hymenoptera; Apidae
Exons: 2
Source: RefSeq, a predicted model, not a curated record
GUCAGGGUUGAUCGAGACAUCGAAGAGUAGAGUCGUUAGAGUUGAUCGAGUUGUCAGUGUUGUAGAGUUGUUAGAGUUGCUAGUGAGAGAGAGAGAGAGAGAGAGAGAGAGAGAGAGAGAGAGUGUGUGUGUGUUAGAUUCAUUCGUUGUGACGAGAGUUGCCAAAUAUCUGCAAAGUUAUUUGAGAUAGAUACGAGUAUCGCAUUUAGUUUCAGUUAAACAAACAUCGUUUUCUGUCCAAUUGAUACCUGUAUAUUCAAUUCAUUAUUAAUAAAUUGUAAAUAAUCGGGAAAAAA